ACCCAGACCGCCAGCUAAGGUCCCAAAGUUGUGGUUAAGUGGUAAACGAUGUGGGAAGGCUUAGACAGCUAGGAGGUUGGCUUAGAAGCAGCCAUCCUUUAAAGAAAGCGUAAUAGCUCACUAGUCGAGUCGGCCUGCGCGGAAGAUGUAACGGGGCUCAAACCACACACCGAAGCUGCGGGUGUCACGUAAGUGACGCGGUAGAGGAGCGUUCUGUAAGCCUGUGAAGGUGAGUUGAGAAGCUUGCUGGAGGUAUCAGAAGUGCGAAUGCUGACAUGAGUAACGACAAUGGGUGUGAAAAACACCCACGCCGAAAGACCAAGGGUUCCUGCGCAACGUUAAUCGACGCAGGGUUAGUCGGUUCCUAAGGCGAGGCUGAAAAGCGUAGUCGAUGGGAAACAGGUUAAUAUUCCUGUACUUCUGGUUACUGCGAUGGAGGGACGGAGAAGGCUAGGCCAGCUUGGCGUUGGUUGUCCAAGUUUAAGGUGGUAGGCUGAAAUCUUAGGUAAAUCCGGGGUUUCAAGGCCGAGAGCUGAUGACGAGUCGUCUUUUAGAUGACGAAGUGGUUGAUGCCAUGCUUCCAAGAAAAGCUUCUAAGCUUCAGGUAACCAGGAACCGUACCCCAAACCGACACAGGUGGUCGGGUAGAGAAUACCAAGGCGCUUGAGAGAACUCGGGUGAAGGAACUAGGCAAAAUGGCACCGUAACUUCGGGAGAAGGUGCGCCGGCUAGGGUGAAGGAUUUACUCCGUAAGCUCUGGCUGGUCGAAGAUACCAGGCCGCUGCGACUGUUUAUUAAAAACACAGCACUCUGCAAACACGAAAGUGGACGUAUAGGGUGUGACGCCUGCCCGGUGCCGGAAGGUUAAUUGAUGGGGUUAGCGCAAGCGAAGCUCUUGAUCGAAGCCCCGGUAAACGGCGGCCGUAACUAUAACGGUCCUAAGGUAGCGAAAUUCCUUGUCGGGUAAGUUCCGACCUGCACGAAUGGCGUAACGAUGGCGGCGCUGUCUCCACCCGAGACUCAGUGAAAUUGAAAUCGCUGUGAAGAUGCAGUGUAUCCGCGGCUAGACGGAAAGACCCCGUGAACCUUUACUGUAGCUUUGCACUGGACUUUGAGCCUGCUUGUGUAGGAUAGGUGGGAGGCUUUGAAGCGUGGACGCCAGUUCGCGUGGAGCCAUCCUUGAAAUACCACCCUGGCAUGCUUGAGGUUCUAACUCUGGUCCGUGAUCCGGAUCGAGGACAGUGUAUGGUGGGCAGUUUGACUGGGGCGGUCUCCUCCUAAAGAGUAACGGAGGAGUACGAAGGUGCGCUCAGACCGGUCGGAAAUCGGUCGCAGAGUAUAAAGGCAAAAGCGCGCUUGACUGCGAGACAGACACGUCGAGCAGGUACGAAAGUAGGUCUUAGUGAUCCGGUGGUUCUGUAUGGAAGGGCCAUCGCUCAACGGAUAAAAGGUACUCCGGGGAUAACAGGCUGAUACCGCCCAAGAGUUCAUAUCGACGGCGGUGUUUGGCACCUCGAUGUCGGCUCAUCACAUCCUGGGGCUGAAGCCGGUCCCAAGGGUAUGGCUGUUCGCCAUUUAAAGUGGUACGCGAGCUGGGUUUAGAACGUCGUGAGACAGUUCGGUCCCUAUCUGCCGUGGACGUUUGAGAUUUGAGAGGGGCUGCUCCUAGUACGAGAGGACCGGAGUGGACGAACCUCUGGUGUUCCGGUUGUCACGCCAGUGGCAUUGCCGGGUAGCUAUGUUCGGAAAAGAUAACCGCUGAAAGCAUCUAAGCGGGAAACUUGCCUCAAGAUGAGAUCUCACUGGGAACUUGAUUCCCCUGAAGGGCCGUCGAAGACUACGACGUUGAUAGGCUGGGUGUGUAAGCGUUGUGAGGCGUUGAGCUAACCAGUACUAAUUGCCCGUGAGGCUUGACCAU
This 1918-nucleotide ribosomal RNA is filed under the name Pseudomonas aeruginosa. Its description in RNAcentral is "bacterial LSU rRNA". It matches the Rfam family "Bacterial large subunit ribosomal RNA", at positions 1025 to 2925 of the family's 2925-position model. The record is from RNAcentral. Lineage: Bacteria; Pseudomonadati; Pseudomonadota; Gammaproteobacteria; Pseudomonadales; Pseudomonadaceae.